UUGAACGCUGGCGGCAGGCCUAACACAUGCAAGUCGAACGGUAACAGGAAGCAGCUUGCUGCUUCGCUGACGAGUGGCGGACGGGUGAGUAAUGUCUGGGAAACUGCCUGAUGGAGGGGGAUAACUACUGGAAACGGUAGCUAAUACCGCAUAACGUCGCAAGACCAAAGAGGGGGACCUUAGGGCCUCUUGCCAUCGGAUGUGCCCAGAUGGGAUUAGCUAGUAGGUGGGGUAACGGCUCACCUAGGCGACGAUCCCUAGCUGGUCUGAGAGGAUGACCAGCCACACUGGAACUGAGACACGGUCCAGACUCCUACGGGAGGCAGCUGUGGGGAAUAUUGCACAAUGGGCGCAAGCCUGAUGCAGCCAUGCCGCGUGUAUGAAGAAGGCCUUCGGGUUGUAAAGUACUUUCAGCGGGGAGGAAGGGAGUAAAGUUAAUACCUUUGCUCAUUGACGUUACCCGCAGAAGAAGCGCCGGCUAACUCCGUG
This 489-nucleotide ribosomal RNA is filed under the name uncultured bacterium. Its description in RNAcentral is "partial 16S ribosomal RNA". It matches the Rfam family "Bacterial small subunit ribosomal RNA", at positions 30 to 507 of the family's 1533-position model. The record is from RNAcentral.